UUAGCGGCGGACGGGUGAGUAACACGUGGAUAACCUACCUAUAAGACUGGGAUAACUUCGGGAAACCGGAGCUAAUACCGGAUAAUAUAUUGAACCGCAUGGUUCAAUAGUGAAAGACGGUUUUGCUGUCACUUAUAGAUGNNNCCGCGCCGCAUUAGCUAGUUGGUAAGGUAACGGCUUACCAAGGCAACGAUGCGUAGCCGACCUGAGAGGGUGAUCGGCCACACUGGAACUGAGACACGGUCCAGACUCCUACGGGAGGCAGCAGUAGGGAAUCUUCCGCAAUGGGCGAAAGCCUGACGGAGCAACGCCGCGUGAGUGAUGAAGGUCUUCGGAUCGUAAAACUCUGUUAUUAGGGAAGAACAAAUGUGUAAGUAACUAUGCACGUCUUGACGGUACCUAAUCAGAAAGCCACGGCUAACUACGUGCCAGCAGCCGCGGUAAUACGUAGGUGGCAAGUGUUAUCCGGAAUUAUUGGGCGUAAAGCGCGCGUAGGCGGUUUUUUAAGUCUGAUGUGAAAGCCCACGGCUCAACCGUGGAGGGUCAUCGGAAACUGGAAAACUUGAGUGCAGAAGAGGAAAGUGGAAUUCCAUGUGUAGCGGUGAAAUGCGCAGAGAUAUGGAGGAACACCAGUGGCGAAGGCGACUUUCUGGUCUGUAACUGACGCUGAUGUGCGAAAGCGUGGGGAUCAAACAGGAUUAGAUACCCUGGUAGUCCACGCCGUANACGAUGAGUGCUAAGUGUUAGGGGGUUUCCGCCCCUUAGUGCUGCAGCUAACGCAUUAAGCACUCCGCCUGGGGAGUACGACCGCAAGGUUGAAACUCAAAGGAAUUGACGG
Molecule: ribosomal RNA, 838 nt
Filed under: uncultured bacterium
Lineage: Bacteria
Description: bacterial SSU rRNA
Rfam family: Bacterial small subunit ribosomal RNA
Source: RNAcentral